Molecule: ribosomal RNA, 534 nt
Filed under: Bifidobacterium longum subsp. infantis
Lineage: Bacteria; Bacillati; Actinomycetota; Actinomycetes; Bifidobacteriales; Bifidobacteriaceae
Description: bacterial SSU rRNA
Rfam family: Bacterial small subunit ribosomal RNA
Source: RNAcentral
CCUGGAAAACGGGUGGUAAUGCCGGAUGCUCCAGUUGAUCGCAUGGUUUUCUGGGAAAGCUUUCGCGGUAUGGGAUGGGGUCGCGUCCUAUCAGCUUGACGGCGGGGUAACGGCCCACCGUGGCUUCGACGGGUAGCCGGCCUGAGAGGGCGACCGGCCACAUUGGGACUGAGAUACGGCCCAGACUCCUACGGGAGGCAGCAGUGGGGAAUAUUGCACAAUGGGCGCAAGCCUGAUGCAGCGACGCCGCGUGAGGGAUGGAGGCCUUCGGGUUGUAAACCUCUUUUAUCGGGGAGCAAGCGAGAGUGAGUUUACCCGUUGAAUAAGCACCGGCUAACUACGUGCCAGCAGCCGCGGUAAUACGUAGGGUGCAAGCGUUAUCCGGAAUUAUUGGGCGUAAAGGGCUCGUAGGCGGUUCGUCGCGUCCGGUGUGAAAGUCCAUCGCUUAACGGUGGAUCCGCGCCGGGUACGGGCGGGCUUGAGUGCGGUAGGGGAGACUGGAAUUCCCGGUGUAACGGUGGAAUGUGUAGAUAU